ACGCGAGCUGGGUUCAGAACGUCGUGAGACAGUUCGGUCCAUAUCCGGUGUAGGCGUUAGAGCAUUGAGAGAAGCUUUCCUUAGUACGAGAGGACCGGGAAAGAUACACCUCUGGUGUACCAGUUAUUGUGCCAACAGUAAACGCUGGGUAGCUACGUGUAGUUGGAUAACCGCUGAAAGCAUCUAAGCGGGAAGCCUGUUCCGAGAUGAGGUUUCUUUUGAGGUGUCCUAGAGAUGAUGGGGUUGAUAGGCCGGGGCUGGAAGCUCUGUGAAGGGGUGUUGAGGUGACCGGUACUAAUUCACCGA
Molecule: ribosomal RNA, 306 nt
Filed under: uncultured eukaryote
Lineage: Eukaryota
Description: partial Bacterial large subunit ribosomal RNA
Rfam family: Bacterial large subunit ribosomal RNA
Source: RNAcentral